This 274-nucleotide unclassified non-coding RNA is filed under the name fungal sp. Its description in RNAcentral is "partial internal transcribed spacer region". The stretch from base 1 to 46 matches the Rfam family "Eukaryotic small subunit ribosomal RNA", at positions 1786 to 1831 of the family's 1831-position model. The record is from RNAcentral. Lineage: Eukaryota; Fungi.
AAGUCGUAACAAGGUUUCCGUAGGUGAACCUGCGGAAGGAUCAAUAAAAAAGAGGGUCAGAAGGUGUGUUUGUUUGUGUCAAUGACACCUUCAUCACACCGACUGAUCUAUCACACACCUUUGCCACACUGUAACAACCGUAAUGAUGCGGAUGGUGGAGAUUCACGUUUUCAUCGUCCGCAGAGUUCACCCUUUAGACAUUAAAUCAACGUCAUCAUAUUGUUGAAAAACAAAAAACUAAAAAUAACUUUUAACGAUGGAUCCCUCGGCUCUC